RNAcentral lists this ribosomal RNA (253 nucleotides) under uncultured bacterium. Its description in RNAcentral is "partial 16S ribosomal RNA". It matches the Rfam family "Bacterial small subunit ribosomal RNA", at positions 524 to 776 of the family's 1533-position model. The record is from RNAcentral.
UACGAAGGGUGCAAACGUUGCUCGGAAUUAUUGGGCGUAAAGCGCACGUAGGCGGCUUGGCAAGUCGGAUGUGAAAUCCCUCGGCUCAACCAAGGAAGUGCAUCCGAAACUGCCGAGCUUGAGUACUUAAGAGGAUCGCGGAAUUCCCGGUGUAGAGGUGAAAUUCGUAGAUAUCGGGAGGAACACCAGUGGCGAAGGCGGCGCUCUGGGAAGAUACUGACGCUGAGGAGCGAAAGCGUGGGGAGCAAACAGG